RNAcentral lists this ribosomal RNA (441 nucleotides) under uncultured Pelagibacterales bacterium. RNAcentral's name for it is "bacterial SSU rRNA". It matches the Rfam family "Bacterial small subunit ribosomal RNA", at positions 1077 to 1533 of the family's 1533-position model. The record is from RNAcentral. Lineage: Bacteria; Pseudomonadati; Pseudomonadota; Alphaproteobacteria; Candidatus Pelagibacterales.
UGGGUAGUCCGCACGAGCGCACCUUACUUUUAGUUGCCACCAUUUAGUUGAGCACUCUAAAAGAACUGCCAGUGAUAAGCUGGAGGAAGGCGGGGAUGACGUCAAGUCCUCAUGGCCCUUACGUGUUGGGCUACACACGUGCUACAAUGGCACUUACAAUGAGAUGCUAAGAGGCGACUCCAAGCCAAUCUCAAAAAAGUGUCUCAGUUCGGAUUGUACUCUGCAACUCGAGUACAUGAAGCUGGAAUUGCUAGUAAUCGCGGAUCAGCGCGCCGCGGUGAAUACGUUCCCGGGUCUUGUACACACCGCCCGUCACACCAUGGAAGUUGGUUACACCUUAAGGCAAAGUGUAAAAUCUUUGACUACGGUACGAUCAGCGACUGGGGUGAGGUCGUAACAAGGUAGCCGUAGGGGAACCUGCGGCUGGAUCACCUCCUUUCU